RNAcentral lists this transfer RNA (70 nucleotides) under Dipodomys ordii (Ord's kangaroo rat). It matches the Rfam family "tRNA". Rfam says of the family: Transfer RNA (tRNA) molecules are approximately 80 nucleotides in length. Their secondary structure includes four short double-helical elements and three loops (D, anti-codon, and T loops). The record is from Rfam by way of RNAcentral. Lineage: Eukaryota; Metazoa; Chordata; Mammalia; Rodentia; Heteromyidae.
GGGAAAGUGGCUCAGUGGUAGAGCGCUUGUCUUGCAUGCAUGAGGCCCUGGGUUCGAUUCCUUAGCACCA